Molecule: ribosomal RNA, 506 nt
Filed under: uncultured bacterium
Lineage: Bacteria
Description: partial 16S ribosomal RNA
Rfam family: Bacterial small subunit ribosomal RNA
Source: RNAcentral
AGUGAACGCUGGCGGUAGGCCUAACACAUGCAAGUCGAACGGCAGCACAGGAGAGCUUGCUCUCUGGGUGGCGAGUGGCGGACGGGUGAGGAAUACAUCGGAAUCUACUUUUUCGUGGGGGAUAACGUAGGGAAACUUACGCUAAUACCGCAUACGACCUACGGGUGAAAGCAGGGGACCUUCGGGCCUUGCGCGAUUGAAUGAGCCGAUGUCGGAUUAGCUAGUUGGCGGGGUAAGGGCCCACCAAGGCGACGAUCCGUAGCGGGUCUGAGAGGAUGAUCAGCCACACUGGAACUGAGACACGGUCCAGACUCCUACGGGAGGCAGCAGUGGGGAAUAUUGGACAAUGGGCGCAAGCCUGAUCCAGCCAUACCGCGUGGGUGAAGAAGGCCUUCGGGUUGUAAAGCCCUUUUGUUGGGAAAGAAAUCCAGCUGGCUAAUACCCGGUUGGGAUGACGGUACCCAAAAAAUAAGCACCGGCUAACUUCGUGCCAGCCGCCGCCGUAA